This 487-nucleotide long non-coding RNA is filed under the name Equus asinus (donkey). RNAcentral's name for it is "lncRNA (ENSEASG00005038560.1)". Lineage: Eukaryota; Metazoa; Chordata; Mammalia; Perissodactyla; Equidae. The record is from RNAcentral.
GUAUGCCUGGCGCAGGUGGGGUCUGCAGUCCGGCCAAGGCAAGCAGGAAGGUGGUCUUCCCCAUUUUGCCACCCGCCCCUGCUGUGCUGGCCUGAGGGGCCCUCAGUUGGCCCGGACCCCUCAGCUCUCCUCCCAGGACAUCUGGUCUCAACCCCGGCUGCCUGCCCUCCCACACUGCCCCAGAGGCUGUGACUUUCUGCACCCACCUCACGUCCCACAGGCUUCUGAAAUUGUAGGGAAAGGACCAAGAGCUGGUUGGACACCCUGUGGACCGGAAAGAAUGCUGACUCAGGAGCCAGCUGUGUUUUGCAGAGCAGGCGCUGAGGCACGGAGAGAAGAAGUGGCCGUCCAGGGUCCCGCAGCCAGCGAGGGGUGGAGCGGGAUUUGAAUCUGCUCAGUCUGUGCUCUUAGCUGCCACACUAAUUCCUCCCAGCCUUGUUGUGGGGUUCAAAGAAAAUACUGUUCACAAAAGCACGUUGUAACCAAG